GACCACGUUUUUCAAGGGGCUGAUGUUCUGCGUUUCACUCAAGGUCACUUAGAAGCAUUGAGAGCUGCCAUCCUUGCCCAGUUUGCCACCUCCUUGGCCCUCGGGGAGGAGGCGAGCCUCUCAAGGGACCCAGUGGUUUGGUUGAAGUAAAUCCAAGUCACCAGAGGCCGGAUAUGACCCCAAAGGGAAGUUUCAUCAACUUUCAUUUCCAUUCACUCCUGGGCCACUGGCCUGCCGGGGAUACUGCUGAGCCGUCAGAAAUGAGUCAGGAAAACUUUGAAAAGUGUGGGUUUCCCCCGCAGAGCCCAGAACACCCCAGAGACAUCGCCAACACUAAGAUGGGCACAGGAGCAACCGUUCCAAGAUGGGAUGUGAUUCAGAAAUUGUCUCAAAGCACUGCUUUUCCAGUGAAAUCACUGACCUUGGACCGAAGCUGAGGCGAUACCUCCAGGCGUUUCCCCAAAAGCUCAGCCUCUCCUGGGGGCCUCCUCUCGCUGGGCCAGGAAGCUCAUUCUCACAGGUUCCAUCUGGUCCAC
Molecule: long non-coding RNA, 536 nt
Filed under: Sus scrofa (pig)
Lineage: Eukaryota; Metazoa; Chordata; Mammalia; Artiodactyla; Suidae
Description: lncRNA (ENSSSCG00055008092.1)
Source: RNAcentral